Molecule: ribosomal RNA, 514 nt
Filed under: uncultured bacterium
Lineage: Bacteria
Description: bacterial SSU rRNA
Rfam family: Bacterial small subunit ribosomal RNA
Source: RNAcentral
ACUCCUACGGGAGGCAGCAGUGGGGAAUAUUGCACAAUGGGCGCAAGCCUGAUGCAGCAACGCCGCGUGCGGGAUGACGGCCUUCGGGUUGUAAACCGCUUUCAGUUCCGACGAAGCGCAAGUGACGGUAGGAACAGAAGAAGGACCGGCCAACUACGUGCCAGCAGCCGCGGUGAUACGUAGGGUCCGAGCGUUGUCCGGAAUUAUUGGGCGUAAAGGGCUUGUAGGCGGUUUGUCACGUCGGAAGUGAAAACUCAGGGCUCAACCCUGAGCCGGCUUCCGAUACGGGCAAACUAGAGGAAUGCAGGGGAGAAUGGAAUUCCUGGUGGAGCGGUGGAAUGCGCAGAUAUCAGGAGGAACACCGGUGGCGAAGGCGGUUCUCUGGGCAUUUCCUGACGCUGAGAAGCGAAAGCGUGGGGAGCAAACAGGCUUAGAUACCCUGGUAGUCCACGCCGUAAACGGUGGGCACUAGGUGUGGGGAACAUUCCACGUUCUCCGUGCCGAAGCUAACGCA